This is a non-coding RNA of Salmo salar (Atlantic salmon), 72 nucleotides long. The record is from Rfam. Lineage: Eukaryota; Metazoa; Chordata; Actinopteri; Salmoniformes; Salmonidae.
UCCCGUGUGGCUCAGUUGGUAGAGCAUGGUGUUUGCAAUGCCAGGGUUGUGGGUUCGAUUCCCACAGGGGAC